This 1160-nucleotide ribosomal RNA is filed under the name Bacillus pumilus. RNAcentral describes it as "bacterial SSU rRNA". It matches the Rfam family "Bacterial small subunit ribosomal RNA", at positions 224 to 1377 of the family's 1533-position model. Lineage: Bacteria; Bacillati; Bacillota; Bacilli; Caryophanales; Bacillaceae. The record is from RNAcentral.
GAUGGACCCGCGGCGCAUUAGCUAGUUGGUGGGGUAAUGGCUCACCAAGGCGACGAUGCGUAGCCGACCUGAGAGGGUGAUCGGCCACACUGGGAUUGAGACACGGCCCAGACUCCUACGGGAGGCAGCAGUAGGGAAUCUUCCGCAAUGGACGAAAGUCUGACGGAGCAACGCCGCGUGAGUGAUGACGGUUUUCGGAUCGUAAAGCUCUGUUGUUAGGGAAGAACAAGUGCGAGAGUAACUGCUCGCACCUUGACGGUACCUAACCAGAAAGCCACGGCUAACUACGUGCCAGCAGCCGCGGUAAUACGUAGGUGGCAAGCGUUGUCCGGAAUUAUUGGGCGUAAAGGGCUCGCAGGCGGUUUCUUAAGUCUGAUGUGAAAGCCCCCGGCUCAACCGGGGAGGGUCAUUGGAAACUGGGAAACUUGAGUGCAGAAGAGGAGAGUGGAAUUCCACGUGUAGCGGUGAAAUGCGUAGAGAUGUGGAGGAACACCAGUGGCGAAGGCGACUCUCUGGUCUGUAACUGACGCUGAGGAGCGAAAGCGUGGGGAGCGAACAGGAUUAGAUACCCUGGUAGUCCACGCCGUAAACGAUGAGUGCUAAGUGUUAGGGGGUUUCCGCCCCUUAGUGCUGCAGCUAACGCAUUAAGCACUCCGCCUGGGGAGUACGGUCGCAAGACUGAAACUCAAAGGAAUUGACGGGGGCCCGCACAAGCGGUGGAGCAUGUGGUUUAAUUCGAAGCAACGCGAAGAACCUUACCAGGUCUUGACAUCCUCUGACAACCCUAGAGAUAGGGCUUUCCCUUCGGGGACAGAGUGACAGGUGGUGCAUGGUUGUCGUCAGCUCGUGUCGUGAGAUGUUGGGUUAAGUCCCGCAACGAGCGCAACCCUUGAUCUUAGUUGCCAGCAUUCAGUUGGGCACUCUAAGGUGACUGCCGGUGACAAACCGGAGGAAGGUGGGGAUGACGUCAAAUCAUCAUGCCCCUUAUGACCUGGGCUACACACGUGCUACAAUGGACAGAACAAAGGGCUGCAAGACCGCAAGGUUUAGCCAAUCCCAUAAAUCUGUUCUCAGUUCGGAUCGCAGUCUGCAACUCGACUGCGUGAAGCUGGAAUCGCUAGUAAUCGCGGAUCAGCAUGCCGCGGUGAAUACGUUCCCGG